UACAUGAAGCUGGAAUCGCUAGUAAUCGCGAAUCAGAAUGUCGCGGUGAAUACGUUCCCGGGUCUUGUACACACCGCCCGUCACACCAUGGGAGUCGGAUAUGCCCGAAGCCGGUGACCUAACCGCAAGGAAGGAGCCGUCGAAGGUGGAGCCGAUGACUGGGGUGAAGUCGUAACAAGGUAUC
This 184-nucleotide ribosomal RNA is filed under the name uncultured bacterium. Its description in RNAcentral is "partial 16S ribosomal RNA". It matches the Rfam family "Bacterial small subunit ribosomal RNA", at positions 1317 to 1500 of the family's 1533-position model. The record is from RNAcentral.